Chrysoperla carnea is the source of this 124-nucleotide long non-coding RNA. RefSeq lists it as uncharacterized. The transcript has 3 exons. NCBI's taxonomy places the organism in Eukaryota, Metazoa, Arthropoda, Insecta, Neuroptera, Chrysopidae. The record is from RefSeq and is a predicted model, not a curated record.
UUUACCAGUACAAUAUGACGUAGUAUACCAGUACAAUAUGGCUCUAAUUUCUGACGUCAUGAGCACUGACCAAUAUACUGGUGAAUAUUACGGAACACACCCGAAAUAAAUCCCGCCAAAAUGC